UAGACGGGGCCCGGCACAAGCGGUGGAGCAUGUGUUAAUUCGAAGCAACGCGAAGAACCUUACCAGGCCUUGACAUGCAGAGAACUUUCCAGAGAUGGAUUGGUGCCUUCGGGAACUCUGACACAGGUGCUGCAUGGCUGUCGUCAGCUCGUGUCGUGAGAUGUUGGGUUAAGUCCGUAACGAGCGCAACCCUUGUCCUUAGUUACCAGCACGUUAUGGUGGGCACUCUAAGGAGACUGCCGGUGACAAACCGGAGGAAGGUAGGGAUGACGUCAAGUCAUCAUGGCCCUUACGGCCUGGGCUACACACGUGCUACAAUGGUCGGUACAAAGGGUUGCCAAGCCGCGAGGUGGAGCUAAUCCCAUAAAACCGAUCGUAGUCCGGAUCGCAGUCUGCAACUCGACUGCGUGAAGUCGGAAUCGCUAGUAAUCGUGAAUCAGAAUGUCACGGUGAAUACGUUCCCGGGCCUU
This 470-nucleotide ribosomal RNA is filed under the name uncultured Pseudomonas sp. Its description in RNAcentral is "bacterial SSU rRNA". It matches the Rfam family "Bacterial small subunit ribosomal RNA", at positions 916 to 1381 of the family's 1533-position model. The record is from RNAcentral. Lineage: Bacteria; Pseudomonadati; Pseudomonadota; Gammaproteobacteria; Pseudomonadales; Pseudomonadaceae.